This 277-nucleotide ribosomal RNA is filed under the name Stenopsylla euryae. RNAcentral describes it as "partial 12S ribosomal RNA". Lineage: Eukaryota; Metazoa; Arthropoda; Insecta; Hemiptera; Triozidae. The record is from RNAcentral.
GAGUAGUAAAGGUUUAGGUCCUUAAACUUAAAAGAUUUGGCGGUAUUUUAUCUUACUAGAGGAACCUGUUUAAUUGUUGAUAAUCCACAAUAUAUUUACUUUUAUUAUUUUACUUGUAUACCGCUGUCAUGAAUAUAUUUAAAAGUUUAUUUUCAUUAAAAUUUAUGUUAGGUCAAGGUGCAGUUUAUAAAGAUAAAUGGGUUACAUUAUUAGAAUGGAGUGAAAAUGGAUUUAGAAGUAAAAUAUUAUAAAUAAUGAAUUUAGAUUCUAAAAUAUG